This 490-nucleotide ribosomal RNA is filed under the name uncultured bacterium. RNAcentral describes it as "partial 16S ribosomal RNA". It matches the Rfam family "Bacterial small subunit ribosomal RNA", at positions 30 to 507 of the family's 1533-position model. The record is from RNAcentral.
AUUGAACGCUGGCGGCAGGCCUAACACAUGCAAGUCGAACGGUAACAGGAAGCAGCUUGCUGCUUUGCUGACGAGUGGCGGACGGGUGAGUAAUGUCUGGGAAACUGCCUGAUGGAGGGGGAUAACUACUGGAAACGGUAGCUAAUACCGCAUAACGUCGCAAGACCAAAGAGGGGGACCUUAGGGCCUCUUGCCAUCGGAUGUGCCCAGAUGGGAUUAGCUAGUAGGUGGGGUAACGGCUCACCUAGGCGACGAUCCCUAGCUGGUCUGAGAGGAUGACCAGCCACACUGGAACUGAGACACGGUCCAGACUCCUACGGGAGGCAGCAGUGGGGAAUAUUGCACAAAGGGCGCAAGCCUGAUGCAGCCAUGCCGCGUGUAUGAAGAAGGCCCUCGGGUUGUAAAGUACUUUCAGCGGGGAGGAAGGGAGUAAAGUUAAUACCUUUGCUCAUUGACGUUACCCGCAGAAGAAGCACCGGCUAACUCCGUG